Long non-coding RNA from Zalophus californianus (California sea lion), 419 nucleotides. RefSeq lists it as uncharacterized. The record is from RefSeq and is a predicted model, not a curated record. NCBI's taxonomy places the organism in Eukaryota, Metazoa, Chordata, Mammalia, Carnivora, Otariidae. The transcript is spliced from 3 exons.
UGUUUGGAGUAAGAGAAAUUUGAGCCGAGGUUUUAGAAAGUCUGAGGAGGAGUUAACUAGAUGAUAGAUGGAGGGAGUAUUAUUCCAGCCAGAGCAAACAGUUGAUGCAAAGGCCCUGUGACUAACAGAACAUGCCUCUAGAACCAUGAGAACAUAAAAUUCUAUUGCUUAAGCCACCCAGCCAAUGGUCCUUUGUCCAGGCAGCCCUAGCAAACCAGUACAUCUCCCUCAGCGGGAGCCCUGCAAGAAGAUCCACGGAGGAUGGAAAAAUGGAAAUGGGCUUGAAGGACAGCCCUAAGGAUGUCAGCUACUUCCCGACAUUAUUCUCGUCAUCUGAUUUCAGCGUUCCCUUUUUGCCUCUAGAGCCUCCAGAUAUCUUUUAGCCAAUGCUCAUUACAGGCAGACCUUGGAGAUCUUGC